AUACUUACCGGGCAGGGGAGAUAGCAUGUUCGUGAAGGUGGUUUUCCCAGGGCAAGGCUUAUCCAUUACUCCAGAUGUGCUGACCCUGGAGAUUUCCCCAAAUGUGGAGCGCUUGACUGUGUAAUUUGUGGUAGUGGGGAACUGCAAUCGCCUCUCUCCU
RNAcentral lists this small nuclear RNA (160 nucleotides) under Dasypus novemcinctus (nine-banded armadillo). Its description in RNAcentral is "U1 spliceosomal RNA (ENSDNOG00000029189.1)". It matches the Rfam family "U1 spliceosomal RNA". Rfam says of the family: U1 is a small nuclear RNA (snRNA) component of the spliceosome (involved in pre-mRNA splicing). Its 5' end forms complementary base pairs with the 5' splice junction, thus defining the 5' donor site of an intron. Lineage: Eukaryota; Metazoa; Chordata; Mammalia; Cingulata; Dasypodidae. The record is from RNAcentral.